RNAcentral lists this ribosomal RNA (484 nucleotides) under uncultured bacterium. RNAcentral describes it as "partial 16S ribosomal RNA". It matches the Rfam family "Bacterial small subunit ribosomal RNA", at positions 29 to 507 of the family's 1533-position model. The record is from RNAcentral.
AUUGAACGCUGGCGGCAUGCUUUACACAUGCAAGUCGAACGGCAGCGCGGGCUUCGGCCUGGCGGCGAGUGGCGAACGGGUGAGUAAUGCAUCGGAACGUGCCCAGUAGUGGGGGAUAGCCCGGCGAAAGCCGGAUUAAUACCGCAUACGACCUGAGGGUGAAAGCGGGGGACCGAAAGGCCUCGCGCUAUUGGAGCGGCCGAUGUCGGAUUAGCUAGUUGGUGGGAUAAAGGCUUACCAAGGCGACGAUCCGUAGCUGGUCUGAGAGGACGACCAGCCACACUGGGACUGAGACACGGCCCAGACUCCUACGGGAGGCAGCAGUGGGGAAUUUUGGACAAAGGGGGCAACCCUGAUCCAGCCAUGCCGCGUGCGGGAAGAAGGCCUUCGGGUUGUAAACCGCUUUUGUUCGGGAAGAAAUCCUCUGGGCUAAUACCCCGGGGGGAUGACGGUACCGGAAGAAUAAGCACCGGCUAACUACGUG